Nothoprocta perdicaria is the source of this 182-nucleotide long non-coding RNA. RefSeq lists it as uncharacterized. The record is from RefSeq and is a predicted model, not a curated record. Lineage: Eukaryota; Metazoa; Chordata; Aves; Tinamiformes; Tinamidae. The transcript is spliced from 2 exons.
CGAACGAGUCGGUGCUGACGGUGGAGUUCAACCCGCUGGACAGCGGCAGCAUCGUCACCGGCGGCAGAUCCCACCUCUACUUCUGGAGCUGGAGCGGCGCGGCGCUCACCAAGAAGCAGGGAGUGUUCGGAGCGCACCGGAAGCCGCGCUUCAUCCAGUGCCUGGCGUUCGGCGCCGCGGGC